UGUCUUCCAAAUACUAUCCUUGAAGUCCUCAAAUAUUCAUUUUGGUGUGUUCCUGGAAGCAGCGUUGCAGGAGGUGAAAGACCACUGCCUAGAUCAGGUAUUCAUGGAUGUCACAUUAGGAGAGUAAUAAAAAGACGUCAACUCACUCAGCAGACUAUAAUCCUCUCUGUGAAGUCAUGUGAGAAGUGGGCAAUGCACAUUUUAAGUUGCCCCAUUAUAUACUGGAGGGCUGUUUCACAAGUGAACUCAUAGAUUAGACAGAAGACCUAUGGCUAUAAGAAGGAGCAUAAGAAAUAGAUAUAAUCUCUGAUUUUAUUGAAACCUCAGUUUAUUCUGCAUGUAGACCUCAUUAUUUCUCUUAAGAAUCUGUGGACUUUGUAGGGUCUAUGAAGAGCCCAAUAAAUUGAAUAUGAAGUUGAUGUCAGAGUACUUAAGAAGGGCCUAGGCUGGAACAUGGGCCCUGGGACACUGGUCUUCCCCCUUCCCCCCACCCCCCAAGGUGGUUGUACCUGUGAUUGGGACUUAGGUUAGCUCUUUAGCUCUGGGAAAUGUCAAAACUGAAGUGAAACCAGUAGUUGGUCAGGUUGUGAGCCCUCAAUGAGGAUGACAUCAUCAUGAAGUGAGACCUGGAGUGCUGGUGGGUCCUUGCCUUGUCUUUUGUCAGAAAGUGAAUAUCAAUGGACCUAAAAGGGUGUAGACAUAUUGACAGAUUAUUGACAGAUUAUUAUUAUUAUUAUACAUAUUAUUAUAUGUAUAAUAAUAAUAUGUAUUAUAUGAUACAUAUAUAAUAUAAUAUGUAUAUAUAUAAUACAUAUAAUAUAAUAUGUAUUAUAUGUAUAAUAAUAUGUGUAAUAUUAUACAUAUUAUUGUCAAUAUGUAGACAUAUUGAUAGAUUCUAGAAGAAAGCCCUUGAGUCUCUUGGAAAACUAAGAUAGUAUAAUAUAUGUUAUUUCAGCACAACAAAACUCACCCUGCCCCUUCCUCUUGCAGGAAGUUUGGAGAGGAUUAGUUAACUCUUAUCAAGAGGAACACACCAAAUUUGGAGGUUAACAACAGUUAACAACCAAGUUAAUUAAGGUUAAUGGGAAUUUUAACCUUUUAGGAAGAGUAUCUUAUUCUUUCUGGAGACAGGACAGGAGAAGCCCUGGUUAAACUUCCUUCCUAUGUCACCAAUAACUACUUUGAGCAGAGGGGAAGGGACUAACCAAUUUAGAGGUGAAAUUAGCUGCUUCUCUUUAGUAGGUAGUCUUGGGUUACCCAGAAUAGAUCCUCUGAAUUAAAGGAACUACCUAGCAGGAAACAGUUGGCCAUAUUUAAAUAGUUUGUUUAGGAUUGUAUCACAUUAGUUUCCACUUUUCAUGAUGAGGGAAGGGAACUAGAAGGAACUACACACCAACAGGAUCUUCCUAUGGCCCCGACAACUAGAAAUAAUAUAUCCUCUACCAUGCCUCUUCUGAUGAGUACCACUUGGGAGGUUCAGCCAUACUUGGAUGUUCACCAAGGUAAGCAAGGCAUAGUACAUAUGUUUCAUCCUUGGCCUUGAGCUGAAUUGUACCCCCUUAGCUAAUGGCACAGUUUACUCACCAUGGAUUUUAAAGUCCACUGCUCCUCACUUAAGAACAGGAUGGUGUGAGAUGUUCAAGAUGUUUCAGGAAACCAAGUGUGCCAUCUGCAAGAAGAAAAUUAUAGCUCCAAGGAGGGAUGAGCCCUGCCCUUGAGUCACUUCUGGAUGAAACAUCUGCAGAGGGCCUGACUCACUGGCCAGAUGAAAAGAGAAGUGAAAGAAAACAAUCCAACAGAAGCCAGGAAGGAACAAUGCAAUAGAAGACAGGUAGGAGAAAAAAGAGGCAAAGAAAAAGGAAAAAUAUUGUAAAUAGAAAGCCCAAAAUAAAAUGGCAGAAAUAAAUACAAAUAUGUCAGUAAUUGUAAUAAAAUAAAACUUCAUGAGUCUUCUGUCAAAAGACAAAACUAUUCAAAAUUAAAUUUAAAAAGCAAUAUAUGUAGUUAAAAGGGAUAUACUUAAACAUAGAAGAAACUAAGACAUACGAAGAAACACUAGGCAUAUAUUAACCAAAAGAAAGCUGGUGUAGCAAUAUUAAUAUUACAUAAUCUAUACUAGGGGGAAACCAUUACUAAAAAGGUGGAAUUUAAUAUAAAAGGAGUAAUGCACCAAGUUACAAUUAUAAACUUGUAUGACCUAACCACAUAGCCUCAAAAUGUAAAAAGCUAAGAUUGAAAAUUACAAGAAAUGUUCAAGUCUAUAAAAAAAAAAAAAGGCCCACAGGGUAAAAGUAUAACAACUCAUACUAGACAUUAGCAUUUCAGUCUUUAAUGCUUACUACUAAGUGUAUCAUCACUGCUAAAUGUAGGGAAAAAAAAUUAUGGCAGUCAAGGUUUCGUGACUCUAAAACUUUGUCUUUUUCUAUCUAUACCUCUGUGAAAAUAACAGCUUGCUUUUUGAAUAUAACUGUCAGCCAAAUAUAUCUAUUCAGUAAGUCCUCUCUGGGUUACCAAAAGCGGGGAAUCACAUGGCCAUAAUUUUGCCAAAUUUUCUGUUAGUUCAGUAAUAAGUUGAGGGGAGAGAACCAACAGUUCUGUUUUCCUUAUUUGUGUUCUCUCAUUUAUUUUUCCCUUGAGGUAUUCAGCACCUUAAGGUACUCUUCUUGUGUUUAACCCAUUUAUGCCUGAGGUUGCAAUUUUUUGAAUUUUUGCAAUCAGACCUUGGCGAAGACCUUGAGCAGGAUAUAAAAUAACCCCCACAUGCUUGGCGUUCCAAUAAUGGAACUCUAGGUAUAAAUGGGCUAAUGAGAAACGGAGGUACAGAGAUUAAGCAACUUGGCUAGCGUUAUACAGCUUGUAAAACAGGAGAGCCUGGGACUCAAUCCUGUGUUAAUGCCAAAGCCUUAGCACCACCUUUAGUACCAACACCACAAUCAGUCAAUAUGUAUAUACUGAGGGCAUUGUUUUAAGUAUUGUGGGGAAGAGGAAGUAGUAUAAUGAGAUUUAAAGAUCUGAAGAUGAAAAGUCCAAAUAAGAACCUUGAACUGAAAUAGAUCAGUUAGUGUUUCAAGAUGAGGAAUCUGUUUGUUGAUAGCCAGAUUAUGAAACUGAUGAGUGCCAAAAUAGAAAUUCAGAAAAAUAUACUUACCUUUAUCAUGAAAUAUGGUAUAUUUCACUUUUGCUUUUAGUAUUUUCUUUUAUAUCCUAAAUCUGCUUAUGUGUGCUGUGCAAAUUGUUAAAAUUUUAAAUAACUGUAUAGUCCCUAUUUUUGUUUGUCCUUGUUUUCUUAUUUUGUUUCUUAAUUUUAGAAUGAUG
RNAcentral lists this long non-coding RNA (3315 nucleotides) under Homo sapiens (human). RNAcentral describes it as "HSALNT0045554". The record is from RNAcentral. Lineage: Eukaryota; Metazoa; Chordata; Mammalia; Primates; Hominidae.